GCCUAAGGAUUCGUCCACACAAGUAGUAUAGGUUGUAGUUAUACAAGGAUUAUGUUUUAUCUUUGUUAUCCUAUGACGGAAACUAGCGAAAGGAAAGAGGGAAAUCUGCUUCACUUCGUUUUUUUCACUCUCUUGUCAAACCAAAAAACUUCUCUUCCUUCCUCUAGUUUCCAAUCAAAGCUUUAUUGAAUCCAGAUGCAUUAAACUGUGAAGAAAUAGCAAUCAAAGGCAGCAGCAGAAGUGGUUCAAAUAGCACUUACAGGAUACAGAACCAUGCAAACCGUUUUCAAUUUUGGCAAAAGCUCUAUGAAACUGACCAGUGAAGAACAAAAAGUUAAACA
RNAcentral lists this unclassified non-coding RNA (341 nucleotides) under Hevea brasiliensis (rubber tree). The record is from RNAcentral. Lineage: Eukaryota; Viridiplantae; Streptophyta; Magnoliopsida; Malpighiales; Euphorbiaceae.